Molecule: ribosomal RNA, 253 nt
Filed under: uncultured bacterium
Lineage: Bacteria
Description: partial 16S ribosomal RNA
Rfam family: Bacterial small subunit ribosomal RNA
Source: RNAcentral
UACGGAGGGUGCAAACGUUGCUCGGAAUCAUUGGGCGUAAAGCGCACGUAGGCGGACUGUUAAGUCGGAUGUGAAAUCCCUCGGCUUAACCGAGGAAGUGCAUUCGAAACUGGCAGUCUUGAGUAUGGAAGAGGGUCGCGGAAUUCCCGGUGUAGAGGUGAAAUUCGUAGAUAUCGGGAGGAACACCAGUGGCGAAGGCGGCGACCUGGGCCAAUACUGACGCUGAGGUGCGAAAGCGUGGGGAGCAAACAGG